ACUUUGGCUGGUCGCUGGCUUCUUAGAGAGACUAUCAACUCAAGUUGAUGGAAGUUUGAGGCAAUAACAGGUCUGUGAUGCCCUUAGAUGUUCUGGGCCGCACGCGCGCUACACUGACAGAGCCAACGAGUUCUUCACCUUGUUCGAAAGAAUUGGGUAAUCUUGUUAAACUCUGUCGUGCUGGGGAUAAAGCAUUGCAAUUAUUGCUUUUCAACGAGGAAUGCCUAGUAAGCGCGUGUCAUCAGCAUGCGUUGAUUACGUCCCUGACCUUUGUACACACCGCCCGUCGCU
This 291-nucleotide ribosomal RNA is filed under the name uncultured fungus. Its description in RNAcentral is "partial 18S ribosomal RNA". It matches the Rfam family "Eukaryotic small subunit ribosomal RNA", at positions 1389 to 1680 of the family's 1831-position model. The record is from RNAcentral. Lineage: Eukaryota; Fungi.